UACAGAGGGGGCAAGCGUUAUUCGGAAUUAUUGGGCGUAAAGGGCGCGUAGGCGGCCUUACAAGUGGAAGGUGAAAUCCCUCGGCUCAACUGAGGAACUGCCCUCCAAACUGUUUGGCUUGAGACCGGGAGAGGUGAGUGGAAUUCCCAGUGUAGCGGUGAAAUGCGUAGAUAUUGGGAGGAACACCAGUGGCGAAGGCGGCUCACUGGACCGGUACUGACGCUGAGGCGCGAAAGCGUGGGGAGCAAACGGG
Molecule: ribosomal RNA, 253 nt
Filed under: uncultured bacterium
Lineage: Bacteria
Description: partial 16S ribosomal RNA
Rfam family: Bacterial small subunit ribosomal RNA
Source: RNAcentral